GGGCUCCGGGCGGCCGUGACCCUGCUGGAGUCCGGGGGGGACCUCCAGCCCCCCGGGGGGUCCCUGCGCCUCCUCUGCCGCGCCUCGGGCUUCAAUUUCGGGAGCUACGACAUGUUCUGGGUCCGCCAGAGACCCGGGCAGGCGCUGGAGUGGCUCGCGGGGAUCAGCAGCCCUGGUGGUUCUUACACCGCGUACGCGCCGUCGGUGAAGGGCCGGGCGACGAUCUCCAGGGACAACGGGCAGAGCUCGGUGACGCUGACCAUGAACGGCCUCAAGGACGAGGAUUCCGGCUCCUAUUUCUGUGCCAAAUCUGCUUACAGUGGUUGGGGUUAUGCUGCUGUUGCUGCUGCUGGUGCUGUUGCGUUUAAGCUGAUUCCGCUCUUGGUCCCAAGCCCCCUCCACUUUGUACCCAAAUGUCCCCGAAUUCUCUGA
Molecule: non-coding RNA, 432 nt
Organism: Vidua chalybeata
Lineage: Eukaryota; Metazoa; Chordata; Aves; Passeriformes; Viduidae
Source: the annotation of a RefSeq genome assembly